RNAcentral lists this long non-coding RNA (264 nucleotides) under Musa acuminata (dwarf banana). Its description in RNAcentral is "long non-coding RNA (MACU_LNC011792)". Lineage: Eukaryota; Viridiplantae; Streptophyta; Magnoliopsida; Zingiberales; Musaceae. The record is from RNAcentral.
GAGGCGCAGCGGGAGCGUGGAUGCGAUAACGGGACCCACGAGACGGACGAUCGUGAUGCAUGGAGAUGCAUCAAGAUGUCGACGGAACCGACGAGGACAAGAUGGACGAUCACAGGGCAUGGAGAUGCACCGUUGCACACAUAGAUCUUGAUGUGAGUGAUUAGGCCUACUGGCUCGGGCCUAAUCAUAUUAGGUUGUGGUCCAUGAUCAUCUGGUGUGAUUGCUUAUACACAUACUAGAUAUGUAUAUAUAUUUGCAUGCGAU